Non-coding RNA from Acanthosepion pharaonis, 97 nucleotides. Lineage: Eukaryota; Metazoa; Mollusca; Cephalopoda; Sepiida; Sepiidae. The record is from the annotation of a GenBank genome assembly.
GUUGAAACACCGGUUCUCGUACGAUCAUAGAAGUUAAGCAACGUCGAGACUGGUCAGUACCUAAAUCAGUGACCCCUUUGAAUACCAGGUGCUGCAC